Molecule: long non-coding RNA, 514 nt
Organism: Salvia miltiorrhiza (redroot sage)
Lineage: Eukaryota; Viridiplantae; Streptophyta; Magnoliopsida; Lamiales; Lamiaceae
Exons: 4
Source: RefSeq, a predicted model, not a curated record
UAUUUUAUUAGUUUAAGCCCCAAAAUAUCUACUACUUUAACUUCUUCAUUAAGUCUUAACCUUAUCCAAUGUUUUAGCUUACACUCUAAGCCAUUCUUACUCUAAUCCAUUUUUGUAAAAAUCACAACUUUCUUUCUCUCCUCAAGUCAGGCUACUUUCGAUCAAGAAGGGGAAACAACAAACUCACAAUAUACAUCCCUCAUAUCUCAAGGUCCGGACGACAAAAAGUGAAGCCGAAGGAUAAGCGACUCCACGUCAGCUUUAAGAACGUUUAAGGUUGAGCAGGCGAUGGAAUGGAUCGGUGUUGAGCGGAUUCCCUUUUGAUGGAUAUGUAAUGAAACCUUGAGUAUGCAUCUCCACAUGCAUAACUCACACGUUUUUCCGCUGCAAACACUCUGACUUAUUUAUCGUUUCUACUUGAACUUUUUACUACUUCAUUUUGAUUAACUUUCAUUUAUAUAUAUAUAUAUAUAUAUAUAUAUAUAUAUAUCACUAGUUUGUUGUUAUUAAUGUU